Molecule: long non-coding RNA, 2011 nt
Organism: Eucalyptus grandis
Lineage: Eukaryota; Viridiplantae; Streptophyta; Magnoliopsida; Myrtales; Myrtaceae
Exons: 3
Source: RefSeq, a predicted model, not a curated record
UGUCUGCAACUCACUUAACUCUCCUAUAUGCCCUUGCAUAAAGGGGUUUACACCGAGAUUGAAAGAAGAGUGGAACAGCAGAAAUUGGACCAGGGGUUGCAUUAGAGAAACAGAAUUGAAUUGUUAGAAGAACACAAGCAGGCCAGCUUCAAUGCAGGUGAAGAAAGAUGUCUUUGUGCGGAUGAACCAGAUGAAAGUGCCUGAUUCUGUGGAAUAUUUAUCAGACAUCAGAGAUGAAGGAGGAUGCCAAAUCUGGUGCCUGAAUAAUUGUUCUUGCCUGGCUCAUUCUUAUAUCAGCAUGAGAGGGUGUUUUGUCUGGGCUAAAGAUCUCAUCAAUGUUCAGGAGUUUUCAACAGCUGGCCAAGAAAUAUAUAUUCAGGUCGCACAUGACAAUAUACAUACAAGAGGUUUGACUACAAUGAGUUUCAAUUGAACUGUAUCACGCAUCUUGCAAUUCUUUAUUCAUCUCAGGCAUGUCAACACAAGCAAAACUUAUCAUCAGCUUAAGUACUGUAAUUGCCAUCAUGUUUGUAGGAGCUGCAAUUUUUGUCCUCUGUGAGUGAAGAGAUAGCAAAAGAGGAGAAAUGUCAUAUGGAAUCGCAUGGAAAGAUCAGCUGAAGCAAGAUGAUGCAUCCAAAUUGACGCUGUUCACUUUUGGUAGCUUACUUAUUGUGACAGACAACUUUGGUUUGGCCCAGUUUAUGAGGUAAAAGACUUCUCUAAAAUUUUCAUUUAGUGAAAUUUUAUGCAUUAUCCAAGGUCUGGUACUUUAUGAGUUUGGAAACAGGGAAGGCUGAAUGAUGGAAAGGAGAUAGCUGUCAAAAUACUUUCCAGUAACUCAGGCCAAGACAUGGAGGAGUUUAAGAAUGAGAUCAUUCUUAUAUCGAAGCUCCAUAAUCGAAAUCUGGUCAGACUCCUGGAUUGCUGUAUUGAAGGAGAAGAAAAAAUUUUAGUAGAUGAAUAUUUGUUGAACAGAAGCUUAGAUUCAUUUCUAUUUGGUUGGCCUCACUCUCUUCAAGCCAUGCUUGAACUUAUGGAAAAAAAUAUACAUUUUUGUAGUACCUAAGUUACGAGUUCAUUUUAUUUACUUCCUUGUUUAGAUUCAAGAAGGAAAGCAGAACUCAACUGGGAUAUACAUUUCCAGAUCACUCAAGGGAUCACGAACGGGCUACCGUACCUCCAUCGAGAUUCUUACCUACAAGUUAUCCAUUGAGAUUUGAAGGCAAGCAAUAUUCUAUUAAAUGAGAUAAUGAACUCAAAAAUUGCGGACAUUGGACUGGCACAGAUCUUCGAAGGCACUUGAGUUUGGCUAAAUACUAACAAAGUUGUUGGAACACCAUAAGUUUUCAAGCCUUGUUGCUGGAAUUCAAUUCAAUUAGUAAACUCUAUAACCUGAAUGAUUAACAUGAUCGAAUCAAUUGCAGAGGAUAUAUGUCUCCCAAGUAAGCCAUGGGAGGAAUAUCUUCUGAGAAAUCCAAUGUCUAUAGCUUUGGAGUGUUGCUACUUGUGAUCGUCACUAGCAAAAAGAAAAAAAAGCUUGUACUACUAUGGCCAGCAUUUCAAUCUUCUCUCCUUUGCAUGGCAAUUGUGGAGCGAAGAUAGAGGACUCGACCUGACAGGUGAAGCAAUUGUUCAUUCUUGUUCGCCGUCAGAAGCGAUGAGAUGCAUUCAGGUAUGGCUACUCUUUGUGCAGGACCACCCGACAGACCGACCCAACAUGUUAUCCAUAUUUCUGAUGCUGAGUGGUGAAUCAGAACUUCCUCAGUCAAGACCGCCUACAUUCACCUUCAAAAGUGAAAUGCUGAGUCACGAUAUCAAGUCACAAUGGGAAUGCAUCUUGUCCACGAACACCAUCACAAAUUCUAUGGUCGAAGGGAGAUGAUGGUUAACAUUUUUUCUUCUGUAAACUUGUAAUGUCCUGCGCUGAAAGUUCAGUGUUCACUCAAUUUGAGAGACCUAGAACUUUGAUUCUUCAUGAACUAAUGAUUGAAAUUCCGCAAUUUUGUUUUCA